AAAAAACAAGAUUUUAGUUUGUGGCUGACUUUCUCAAAGGAAACAACUCCAGUAAAAUUUAAGCGAAUUAAAAUAACAAUCAACAAAAGUCAUGGAUCGAGUUAUUUUUGAAGAUUUUGAUAAAAUAUCGGCUCAAGAGAAAAUGACAAAUCAGUUCAACCUAAAGUUGCUAAGAUAUUUUUAUGAAAUUAUUAGCAAAAAAUAUGCUAUGGAUCGAUAUGUAUUUAACGAUUUCGAAAAAUUAUCGAAAGACGAGCAAAAGGAGAGGUUGAGCCGAGCCAAAGUGGAGCUAAAGAGAUUUUAUAAUAUAAUUCAGGAUGAUUUUGAAGGAAAAAGCAAUUCGGAUCAGGAACUAGUGGACAUGAUGAGCGAUAUGGGAUUGACCCAAGUUUCAGGAUCAGUGCUCCUGACGGAAAUUAUUAACUCAAUAUAAAACAUAAUCUUGCCAAGUAUUUGAUUGCCUAAAUAGUAAAUACAUUUUAUUACAUAAACAGCUAGAGAUUUCGUGAAUAUCCUGAAUACCAGAAAGCAUCCUUAUAUUCAUCCGAAAAUAUCAUUAAA
Drosophila gunungcola (fruit fly) is the source of this 561-nucleotide long non-coding RNA. RefSeq lists it as uncharacterized. NCBI's taxonomy places the organism in Eukaryota, Metazoa, Arthropoda, Insecta, Diptera, Drosophilidae. The record is from RefSeq and is a predicted model, not a curated record. The transcript has 3 exons.